RNAcentral lists this ribosomal RNA (468 nucleotides) under uncultured bacterium. Its description in RNAcentral is "partial 16S ribosomal RNA". It matches the Rfam family "Bacterial small subunit ribosomal RNA", at positions 28 to 507 of the family's 1533-position model. The record is from RNAcentral.
GACGAACGCUGGCGGCGUGCUUAACACAUGCAAGUCGAACGGAAAGGCCCCGCCUUUGUGGGGUGCUCGAGUGGCGAACGGGUGAGUAACACGUGAGUAACCUGCCCCUGACUCUGGGAUAACUUCUGGAAACUGGGGCUAAUACCGGAUACGAGAUCCUGCCGCAUGGUCGCUGUUGGAAAGUUUCGGCGGUUGGGGAUGGGCUCGCGGCCUAUCAGCUUGUUGGUGGGGUAGUGGCUUACCAAGGCUUUGACGGGUAGCCGGCCUGAGAGGGUGACCGGCCACAUUGGGACUGAGAUACGGCCCAGACUCCUACGGGAGGCAGCAGUGGGGAAUAUUGCACAAUGGGCGGAAGCCUGAUGCAGCAACGCCGCGUGAGGGAUGACGGCCUUCGGGUUGUAAACCGCUUUCGGCUGUGAAGAAGCGAGAGUGACGGUAAUUGGAGAAGAAGCACCGGCUAACUACGUG